This 2786-nucleotide ribosomal RNA is filed under the name Escherichia coli. RNAcentral's name for it is "bacterial LSU rRNA". It matches the Rfam family "Bacterial large subunit ribosomal RNA". Lineage: Bacteria; Pseudomonadati; Pseudomonadota; Gammaproteobacteria; Enterobacterales; Enterobacteriaceae. The record is from RNAcentral.
AGCGUACACGGUGGAUGCCCUGGCAGUCAGAGGCGAUGAAGGACGUGCUAAUCUGCGAUAAGCGUCGGUAAGGUGAUAUGAACCGUUAUAACCGGCGAUUUCCGAAUGGGGAAACCCAGUGUGAUUCGUCACACUAUCAUUAACUGAAUCCAUAGGUUAAUGAGGCGAACCGGGGGAACUGAAACAUCUAAGUACCCCGAGGAAAAGAAAUCAACCGAGAUUCCCCCAGUAGCGGCGAGCGAACGGGGAGCAGCCCAGAGCCUGAAUCAGUGUGUGUGUUAGUGGAAGCGUCUGGAAAGGCGUGCGAUACAGGGUGACAGCCCCGUACACAAAAAUGCACAUACUGUGAGCUCGAUGAGUAGGGCGGGACACGUGGUAUCCUGUCUGAAUAUGGGGGGACCAUCCUCCAAGGCUAAAUACUCCUGACUGACCGAUAGUGAACCAGUACCGUGAGGGAAAGGCGAAAAGAACCCCGGCGAGGGGAGUGAAAAAGAACCUGAAACCGUGUACGUACAAGCAGUGGGAGCACGCUUAGGCGUGUGACUGCGUACCUUUUGUAUAAUGGGUCAGCGACUUAUAUUCUGUAGCAAGGUUAACCGAAUAGGGGAGCCGAAGGGAAACCGAGUCUUAACUGGGCGUUAAGUUGCAGGGUAUAGACCCGAAACCCGGUGAUCUAGCCAUGGGCAGGUUGAAGGUUGGGUAACACUAACUGGAGGACCGAACCGACUAAUGUUGAAAAAUUAGCGGAUGACUUGUGGCUGGGGGUGAAAGGCCAAUCAAACCGGGAGAUAGCUGGUUCUCCCCGAAAGCUAUUUAGGUAGCGCCUCGUGAAUUCAUCUCCGGGGGUAGAGCACUGUUUCGGCAAGGGGGUCAUCCCGACUUACCAACCCGAUGCAAACUGCGAAUACCGGAGAAUGUUAUCACGGGAGACACACGGCGGGUGCUAACGUCCGUCGUGAAGAGGGAAACAACCCAGACCGCCAGCUAAGGUCCCAAAGUCAUGGUUAAGUGGGAAACGAUGUGGGAAGGCCCAGACAGCCAGGAUGUUGGCUUAGAAGCAGCCAUCAUUUAAAGAAAGCGUAAUAGCUCACUGGUCGAGUCGGCCUGCGCGGAAGAUGUAACGGGGCUAAACCAUGCACCGAAGCUGCGGCAGCGACGCUUAUGCGUUGUUGGGUAGGGGAGCGUUCUGUAAGCCUGCGAAGGUGUGCUGUGAGGCAUGCUGGAGGUAUCAGAAGUGCGAAUGCUGACAUAAGUAACGAUAAAGCGGGUGAAAAGCCCGCUCGCCGGAAGACCAAGGGUUCCUGUCCAACGUUAAUCGGGGCAGGGUGAGUCGACCCCUAAGGCGAGGCCGAAAGGCGUAGUCGAUGGGAAACAGGUUAAUAUUCCUGUACUUGGUGUUACUGCGAAGGGGGGACGGAGAAGGCUAUGUUGGCCGGGCGACGGUUGUCCCGGUUUAAGCGUGUAGGCUGGUUUUCCAGGCAAAUCCGGAAAACUAAGGCUGAGGCGUGAUGACGAGGCACUACGGUGCUGAAGCAACAAAUGCCCUGCUUCCAGGAAAAGCCUCUAAGCAUCAGGUAACAUCAAAUCGUACCCCAAACCGACACAGGUGGUCAGGUAGAGAAUACCAAGGCGCUUGAGAGAACUCGGGUGAAGGAACUAGGCAAAAUGGUGCCGUAACUUCGGGAGAAGGCACGCUGAUAUGUAGGUGAAGUCCCUCGCGGAUGGAGCUGAAAUCAGUCGAAGAUACCAGCUGGCUGCAACUGUUUAUUAAAAACACAGCACUGUGCAAACACGAAAGUGGACGUAUACGGUGUGACGCCUGCCCGGUGCCGGAAGGUUAAUUGAUGGGGUUAGCGCAAGCGAAGCUCUUGAUCGAAGCCCCGGUAAACGGCGGCCGUAACUAUAACGGUCCUAAGGUAGCGAAAUUCCUUGUCGGGUAAGUUCCGACCUGCACGAAUGGCGUAAUGAUGGCCAGGCUGUCUCCACCCGAGACUCAGUGAAAUUGAACUCGCUGUGAAGAUGCAGUGUACCCGCGGCAAGACGGAAAGACCCCGUGAACCUUUACUAUAGCUUGACACUGAACAUUGAGCCUUGAUGUGUAGGAUAGGUGGGAGGCUUUGAAGUGUGGACGCCAGUCUGCAUGGAGCCGACCUUGAAAUACCACCCUUUAAUGUUUGAUGUUCUAACGUUGACCCGUAAUCCGGGUUGCGGACAGUGUCUGGUGGGUAGUUUGACUGGGGCGGUCUCCUCCUAAAGAGUAACGGAGGAGCACGAAGGUUGGCUAAUCCUGGUCGGACAUCAGGAGGUUAGUGCAAUGGCAUAAGCCAGCUUGACUGCGAGCGUGACGGCGCGAGCAGGUGCGAAAGCAGGUCAUAGUGAUCCGGUGGUUCUGAAUGGAAGGGCCAUCGCUCAACGGAUAAAAGGUACUCCGGGGAUAACAGGCUGAUACCGCCCAAGAGUUCAUAUCGACGGCGGUGUUUGGCACCUCGAUGUCGGCUCAUCACAUCCUGGGGCUGAAGUAGGUCCCAAGGGUAUGGCUGUUCGCCAUUUAAAGUGGUACGCGAGCUGGGUUUAGAACGUCGUGAGACAGUUCGGUCCCUAUCUGCCGUGGGCGCUGGAGAACUGAGGGGGCUGCUCCUAGUACGAGAGGACCGGAGUGGACGCAUCACUGGUGUUCGGGUUGUCAUGCCAAUGGCACUGCCCGGUAGCUAAAUGCGGAAGAGAUAAGUGCUGAAAGCAUCUAAGCACGAAACUUGCCCCGAGAUGAGUUCUCCCUGACUCCUUGA